This 74-nucleotide transfer RNA is filed under the name Pteropus alecto (black flying fox). It matches the Rfam family "tRNA". From Rfam's summary of the family: Transfer RNA (tRNA) molecules are approximately 80 nucleotides in length. Their secondary structure includes four short double-helical elements and three loops (D, anti-codon, and T loops). Lineage: Eukaryota; Metazoa; Chordata; Mammalia; Chiroptera; Pteropodidae. The record is from Rfam by way of RNAcentral. RNAcentral also lists the same sequence under 1 other name.
GGCUUGAUAGUGUAGUGGUUAGCAUGUCUGCUUUACACACAGAAGGUCCUGGGUUCGGGCCCCAGGUGGAGCCA